This 253-nucleotide ribosomal RNA is filed under the name uncultured bacterium. RNAcentral describes it as "partial 16S ribosomal RNA". It matches the Rfam family "Bacterial small subunit ribosomal RNA", at positions 524 to 776 of the family's 1533-position model. The record is from RNAcentral.
UACAGAGGGUGCAAGCGUUAAUCGGAAUUACUGGGCGUAAAGCGUGCGUAGACGGUUACAUAAGUCGGGUGUGAAAGCCCCGGGCUCAACCUGGGAAUUGCAUUCGAGACUGCGUAGCUAGGGUGCGGAAGAGGGAAGCGGAAUUUCCGGUGUAGCGGUGAAAUGCGUAGAUAUCGGAAGGAACACCAGUGGCGAAGGCGACUUUCUGGCUUAUAACUGACGCUGAGGCGCGAAAGCGUGGGGAGCAAACAGG